GUCACAGUCCUGUGCGUACAUUGCUCGGUACUACUAACACGUCCAAUACAGCUGCUAUAGCUGCAAAACUUCAGGUUCUACAAGAGCCAGCCUCACCCAACGCGCGUGGGCCCUGUAAAGGAGCAGUGAAGUCCGAUUGGCGUCAACAUGUGGCAACGAUGCUGCAGUGACAGUGCGCCCCCUACAGCCUCUCCUCCACGCGCCGGCGAUGGCGAGGAGGCUGCCACAAUAGCGAACUACCUACACGCACACCUCCACACCAUUCCUGCAGCGAUGCCAACAAGAGCUGAGUAGUACGCUCGACUCCACGAAGCGUGCCAAGUCGGAGAGGGUUCGCGUGGCACAGGAAAUCGGUGGCAUGGAGCUUUACAAGAGGACUCUUGAUGGCUUGAUGGCCUUCACGCUGACACAGCUCGAGGGCGCUGCGGUGGGAGUGAAGGAGGUGGAGGAGAAGCGGUCAAAGGAGUUCGCAGCAGCAUGGAAGAGACUCGAAGAGAUGCAGGCAAAUCUGCACCUUAGAGCCGCCUCGUGGGACGCCUCGUGUGGUCGUUGCUUGUCCGCGUAUAAAUAGAGGCCUUUUCGUUCCCCCUCUCGCACGAACAAGUCUGUAGUGGUAUUGUCGCCCAACGUUGUUUUGCUCUGUGCGCCGUAGGGCGGUGUUACGAGGCAACGCCAACAUCGCCCCCUCCCUCGUCUUCCUUUGCGAGCUGUCAGAGCUUUCCUGUGAGUGCGCCUGCGUGCAAUCACAUGCGCAUAGCCACCACCUCCGCCCCCUUCUCCCUCCUCCUCUCUCGCUUUCGCCAUCUCUCACGUAG
This 815-nucleotide unclassified non-coding RNA is filed under the name Leishmania donovani. Its description in RNAcentral is "gene:LdHU3.31.3640(CDS-product:hypothetical_prote in_conserved)". The record is from RNAcentral. Lineage: Eukaryota; Euglenozoa; Kinetoplastea; Trypanosomatida; Trypanosomatidae.